Long non-coding RNA from Salvia miltiorrhiza (redroot sage), 1100 nucleotides. RefSeq lists it as uncharacterized. NCBI's taxonomy places the organism in Eukaryota, Viridiplantae, Streptophyta, Magnoliopsida, Lamiales, Lamiaceae. The record is from RefSeq and is a predicted model, not a curated record. The transcript has 2 exons.
CCUACUGUGAUCGACGGUUUGUCGAUGUCUAAUAGAUUUGACAAUUUUAUAGCAAGUCCCUACAUGAGUCUUGAGUACCCUGGUAAAAUUUCAAGCCAUUCCAACUUCGUUUGAUACUUCUUUAAAAUGCAAAACCUAAACUGCACAUUACUACCGAGAAUUUCAGAGAACAGAGGAAAGAGUCAUUCAUUUCAGUAGCUUCCUGUGUGAUCUAGAUUUCCAAAUUUUUAUGGUAUUAACCUUAUUGUGUUAGCUAGAUAUCCACCAAAGUUGAGCCCAGUUUGACAACGUUUACUAUUUUUCAAAAAUCCAAGUUUUCGAUUGUUCAAAACUGCCGAACAUGGUAGAUCGUGGUAAAAACGUCAUAUCUCUCAAACCACUUGGAGUUUUCGACUCUACUUUUUUUUAUAUGAAACUAGACUCGAAGAUCUUUCUUUUGGUAUGAGUCUAGAGUCCAGGAGAUGUCGGAGUCAGAACAGAUUAAAUUUUGAAGUUGAGUCAGUGUAAAAACAGAGCAUGUUUUGAUGAUGUUUGAUUGUGAUUCUUAUGUGCCUUAUGUGUUUGUGUUGCCUAUGUGUUUGAAUGAGAUUAGACGAGGUAUGAUUGAUUUUUGACUGUCUUUAAUGUAACGAAUUAUGGAUGCUAGAACCCUAAAACAUUAAAAGAUACCCUAGGCACGUAGAAUUAGACUUUGUCUUAUGACAAUUUCUUCACGAACUUAUCGACUCUUCAUCAAUGAAGGUCCGGGCGACAGAAAGUGAAGCCGAAGAAGAAACGACUCCACGCCAGCUUUAAGAACAAUUGAGGUUGAGCAGGCGAUGGAAUGGAUCGGUGUUGAGCGGAUUUCCCUUUUGAUGUUUAUGUAAUGAAACCUUGAGUAUGCAUCUCCAUAUGCAUAACUCACACGUUUUUUUUCGCUGCAAACACUCUGACUUAUUUAUCAUUUCUACUUGAACUUAUUACUACUUCAUUUUAAUUAACUUUCAGUUGGGGUCUAGUCGUUAUGGCAGACUCGUUUGUGAAUUACCCAAGUGGUUAUAUAUAUAUAUACCACUAGUUUGUUAUUAAUGUUGGUUACUUAGUAAAUCCCCUUUAAUUUC